Molecule: long non-coding RNA, 389 nt
Organism: Antechinus flavipes (yellow-footed antechinus)
Lineage: Eukaryota; Metazoa; Chordata; Mammalia; Dasyuromorphia; Dasyuridae
Exons: 3
Source: RefSeq, a predicted model, not a curated record
GAAGUAAUUGGAGAUGGGGGCCCUGAAAGAUAAGGCAACAGCUCAUCUUUCAGAACUGCAAGACAGUAGCAGAGUCCCAGAUUCUGAUGGGAAGAAACUGAGGAUAGCUAGAAGCAACAGCAGGAUAAGAAGGCUUUAGUGUUAGGUAGUCGAUUGAGAGAGAUAACCAUGGCUGCCCUGAAGGCUUCUGGAAAGUUACUUAAAGCACAGCUGUAGUCUGAACCAAGUAUCUUCAUCCUUCACUGCCCGGCUUUGAAUGCUGCUCUCUACUUUCAGCCUCUCAGGGAAGAUGGAAACAAAAGAAGAGGCUGUAAGACGGGCUGCUCUACCCUCCUUUGAAAGAAGGGAUAAAUAGAGAAGAGGGAAAGGGAAUAAACACUGAUUAAGCA